This is a non-coding RNA of Sus scrofa (pig), 2737 nucleotides long. Lineage: Eukaryota; Metazoa; Chordata; Mammalia; Artiodactyla; Suidae. The record is from RefSeq and is a predicted model, not a curated record.
UGGAAGUCUGGGCUGGAGAUACUAAUAUAGAAAUAGAAGACAUGAGAUGAAAUCACUCAAGAAGAAUUUGUAAAGUAAGAAGACAAAAUACAGGCAAGAGCUUUGAAGAAUAUCAACAUUAAUGGACACUAUAAUCAGAUUGAAGAAUAUCAAACAUUAAUGGACUCCAUAAUCAGAGAGCUUUCCAAAAUGAAAAUCUGAUCACCUUCAUUUAAAAAUCCUUAUACUUCUGGGCAAGAUGGUUACAUGAGCACGGGCAUCCAAUUCUUCCCUUUUAUUCCUGUGAUGGUUAAUUUUAUGUGUCAACCUGAGUGAGCCAUAAGGUGCCCAGAUGAAACAGUUUCUGGGUGUGUCUGUGAGAAUGUUUGUGGAUGAGACUGGCAGUUGAACCAGUGGUUUCAUUAAACUGUUCCCUCCAAUGUGGGUAGGUAUCGAUCAAUCUGUUAGGGCCUGAGUAAAGGUGCAGAGCAAAGAGGAACACACUCCUUUAUUCCUGCCUCACUGCUUGAACUGGGAAUCUCAUCUCAAUCUUCUCCUGCUUUCAGACUGGGAUAGACAUCAUUGACUCCCUGGUUCGGAGGCCUUUGAACUGGGACUGAAUUAUACUACUGGGUUUCCUGGGUUUCCAAUUUACAGACAACAGACUGUGGGACUUAGCCUCCAUAACAGGUACCUCAGUUCUUCUUAACACACCUUCUUUUCUAUCAUGGCAGUUCUGUUUCUCUGAGAAACCCUGAUUAAUACAUGCCCCCUCUCCAUUCCAAACUCCACUGAAUGAAAAGAUCACUGACUAAAGUAAGAAGAAAAUAUCAAGAUUGAAAACUAACCAAAACUUUAAUUUUGCCUGUGUGAGUGAAAUUAGAAUCAAAUUCAGAAGAAAGUCUGUCCAGAGACUUUUCUAGUGUGAGAAUAACUUGCUAGAAAAAGAAGUACAAGGGACCCCAGAGAACUCUGAUUAUUGUCCACACCUUAGAUCCUGCAUCAUGAGAUGCAACACCUCACCUGGUUCCUAUGUAAAAUUAUACUAACUUUGACCUAUAAAGAUUUCUACACAUUUGCCUACAUAUGUUUGAGACAUCAACCUAUACAGUAGUUAUCUAUCUGAAAGAAAUUUUGUCAGAGAUAAGCCCCACAAACUUUAUAACAUAUUCUUGCUCUGAGCAGUUUUAAUAUAUAAAUGUUGGUCCCUAAGCUAAGGUAGGAAAGUCUUACUUUCCAACAAUGGCAAAUACAGAAUGAUGUUGGUAUUCUUUACACACAAAUAUUUGCUUGGGUGGUCAAGUUAUGAAAUAGUCUUACCAUUAAAUGGACAAACAGAAAAAGACUCAAGGACUUAUCUUUCCAGAGGAGUUUUCAGUUAAUUGUUACAUAUUAUGAUAUUUUAGUGUAAGCCGCCUGACACAGACCUAAAGGGUACUACAGAGGGAUAAUGGCACAUGUUAAAGUAAGAUCUUAUUUAUUUGUGAAUAUUACAUUUUGUGUAUUUUGAAGAAUAAGGAGAAUUGGUAGAGAUUGGUAGAGGUAGACAAAUAGGUUUUAGAAUUAUAGUAUGGUACAUAUUUCUUAGAAGGCUAUAUGUAUGUAUAUGUGUAUAUACAUAUAUAUACACACAUAUACAUGUACAUACAUAUACAUAUAUGUAUAUAUAUGUGUAUACACAAAGUAGCUUGGGAUGGAUAGAAUCUUAAUGUAUUCAAAAAUUCAAAACAUAUAUCCAUAGUAGCAACAAACAGUUAUAUGCAUAAGUUAUUUUUAGAGCAGCCUGUCCUACCUAGCAAAGGAAAAGUGCUAGUGAUGAAAUCAGCAUUUAUUUCCUCUGCUGUUAUAAUCUGUGACUUCCUUUUUCAGGCUGAGCAAAAGGCACUCUACUCAGAGAUGCGUGGCUGUGGGACUUGCAGUAUUUGUAUUAUUUGAAACUUAUGGAAAGAUUACUCUGCAUAUACUGAAAAUUUGACAUUGGAGCCUUUAUCUUUUUUCCCCUCAAUUUAAAAUGGAAGGCUAUUGCAAUGAAUGAUGUUAAUUAUGUCCAUUAUUAUCCAAAUGAAUGACAGAAAAGCACAAUGUGAAGGAGGAAUAAUUAACAUGCCUUAUCUUGGCUUAUUUGGGCAGAUAUAAAAGAGGAAACAGAUUAAUGUAACAUAUAGGAAUUACCACAGGUGAGUAUGUAUAGGAGUGGAACUCAGCAAUAGGGAGGCCUGAACAAUUAAAGCUUGUUUUCUAAUUAGUAUGAGCAUCUCUUAAUGUUAACCCAUUAGGGGUGAAACUACUAAAAGUAUAUGUUAAAAAUGUAAAGAAAUAAAUGUUUAGUAUCUGGAGGCCCAGGUCCACAUGAGGACUCACCACCCAGGCAGGGAGAACCUGCAGCUGCUCUGGCAGCAGCCCCAGACACUGACAGGCUCCUGCAGGAGACCGAGGGCCAGAGGAGAAUUCAGCAGCCCUGCAGGGAGAGCCUGCACUGACUGCUCCAGCACCCCCUACACUAGGUCCUGCACUGGCUCUCAAAAGAGCUCCAGGCCAAUUUCCAAAGCCAUCUUCCCCAAGGUCACCUCUGCCCCUGCAAGCGCCCUCCCCAUCAGCUCCCCAAAAACCCCAUCCACCUGCUCCCCCUCCUGAAAUUUACUCUCCUCUCCCUCUUGUGAUUUGUCUUUGGAUGUUUGCUCAUUUCCUGUUCUUCUUCCAUAUUAUUUAUGGUAUACUUUAUGUUUUAAGAAUAAAAUUAGAAAGUUGGGGAAAAAAA